This is a non-coding RNA of Ictidomys tridecemlineatus (thirteen-lined ground squirrel), 588 nucleotides long. Lineage: Eukaryota; Metazoa; Chordata; Mammalia; Rodentia; Sciuridae. The record is from RefSeq and is a predicted model, not a curated record.
CGCAGGGUUACCGUGAAAUUCAAGUGGCCGCGGGAUUAUUCCUCCUGGGAAGGCGGGGACCCAGCCUCGCCCCUGGGCUUGAGCCUGCGACUCUGCGCCUCGGUUUCCCUGAGCUGCUGCAAGGGGACCGGAUGACAGAAGAGAUCCUGCAAACCCGACGACCGAGUCUCAGACCUGCGGGGCCCCUACCUUCCCACGACACACCCUCUGCCCCCCAAGAGCCUCUCCCCAAGAUCUGUCCUCAGGAAUCCAGGCCUGGCAAGUUGGUCCGGACACCUGCUGAGUGACCUACCCACCAGCCGCUGACCUUGAAGGCACCCAUUUAUUAAUCCAGGGUACAAGGCCACACCUCAGCUUGGAUCGUGGCAGGGUGGCCCUGCGGGUCGUCCCCUUCCUACUCACUGCAGACUCCGGAGUCGUACCUGUGCCCAGUCAGCUCAGCGCAGGAUUCUGCUCCUGGGACCAUGAGUUCAAAGCCAGCCUCAGCAACUUAGCGAGGCCCUAAGCAACUCAGCCAGACCCUGUCUCUAAGUAAAAUACAAAAAGGGCUGGGGAGUGGCUCAGGGGUCACGUGCCCCUGGGUUCAGU